This 74-nucleotide transfer RNA is filed under the name Burkholderia stabilis. Its description in RNAcentral is "tRNA-Gln(ctg)". It matches the Rfam family "tRNA". From Rfam's summary of the family: Transfer RNA (tRNA) molecules are approximately 80 nucleotides in length. The record is from RNAcentral. Lineage: Bacteria; Pseudomonadati; Pseudomonadota; Betaproteobacteria; Burkholderiales; Burkholderiaceae.
UCCGGAGUAGCUCAGAGGUAGAGUGCUCGGCUCUGGACCGAGAGGGCGCUAGUUCGAAUCUAGCCUCCGGACCC